This 72-nucleotide transfer RNA is filed under the name Camelus bactrianus (Bactrian camel). It matches the Rfam family "tRNA". From Rfam's summary of the family: Transfer RNA (tRNA) molecules are approximately 80 nucleotides in length. Their secondary structure includes four short double-helical elements and three loops (D, anti-codon, and T loops). Further hydrogen bonds mediate the characteristic L-shaped molecular structure. tRNAs have two regions of fundamental functional importance: the anti-codon, which is responsible for specific mRNA codon recognition, and the 3' end, to which the tRNAs corresponding amino acid is attached (by aminoacyl-tRNA synthetases). tRNAs cope with the degeneracy of the genetic code in two manners: having more than one tRNA (with a specific anti-codon) for a particular amino acid; and 'wobble' base-pairing, i.e. permitting non-standard base-pairing at the 3rd anti-codon position. The record is from Rfam by way of RNAcentral. Lineage: Eukaryota; Metazoa; Chordata; Mammalia; Artiodactyla; Camelidae. RNAcentral also lists the same sequence under 2 other names.
GAGGGUAUAGCUCAGUGGUAGAGCACAAGCUUAGCAUGCAUGAGGUCCUGGGUUCAAUCCCCGGUACCUCCA